Molecule: ribosomal RNA, 155 nt
Filed under: Salmonella enterica
Lineage: Bacteria; Pseudomonadati; Pseudomonadota; Gammaproteobacteria; Enterobacterales; Enterobacteriaceae
Also listed under: 2 other names
Description: partial 23S ribosomal RNA
Rfam family: Bacterial large subunit ribosomal RNA
Source: RNAcentral
CGAAACUUGCCCCGAGAUGAGUUCUCCCUGAGACUUUAGGUCUCCUGAAGGAACGUUGAAGACGACGACGUUGAUAGGCCGGGUGUGUAAGCGCAGCGAUGCGUUGAGCUAACCGGUACUAAUGAACCGUGAGGCUUAACCUUACAACGCCGAAG